This 729-nucleotide long non-coding RNA is filed under the name Callithrix jacchus (white-tufted-ear marmoset). Its description in RNAcentral is "lncRNA (ENSCJAG00000074873.1)". Lineage: Eukaryota; Metazoa; Chordata; Mammalia; Primates; Cebidae. The record is from RNAcentral.
AGUAUAAUAUAAUCAAAACUGUUUGAAUAAGCCUAUAUAUGUUUGGAAUUAUAAAACAAAUCUGAACAGUAUAUAUAGGUAGGUCAUAGGUUGAGGAGGUGAAUAAAAUGAGAGAAAAGGAGGGGAAACUCUACCAUAUUAUUUUAUAAAAUAAUGUGCUGUUUGAUUUUUUUUCAAAAAGCAAAUAUUACUUUGAUAAUAAUUAAAGAAAACUGAAAACCACACAUAGUUCGACCUUCUUCUUCUAAAGAUGAAGAAACUAAAACUAGAAAUUCUUUUUUUCUUUUUGCAAAGCAAAAGCAAGUUUAUUAAGAAAGUGAAGGGAUAAAGAAUGAUCCCCCAUAGGGAGAGCAGCAACUUGGGCCACUAGGCUGAUUAUACUGACUGUUACUUCUUGGUUAUAUACUUAACAAAAGGUAGAUUACUCAUGAGCUUUCUGGGAAAGAAGUGUGCCAUUCCCAAAACAGGAAAACUCAGAGAAAUUCUUGAAUCAUAGAAAUUAAUAACCGAAUGACAAUUUAGGGAUCAUUAAGCCCACCCUCCUUAUAUUACAGAUAAGGAAACUGAAGCACAGAGAAGCAAAGCAAGCUAUAGUUCCUAAGACCAAAGCCUGGAGAGAAAAGAAGUUGAACACAUUGAUGCGGGGAAAAUGCAGGUUCUCAGCAUAUGCUGUGAGAUCUAUGAACGCUGACUCACUCAUUUUGGAUGAGUUGGAACCUUGCUUUGUAG